CACAGAGCAGGGUGGUGGGUAACACCCACCCGGGGUGACCCGCGGGACAGUGCCACAGAGAACAGACCGCCUCGCCCCUCGUGGGCGGGGUAAGGGUGAAACGGUGGGGCAAGAGCCCACCAGUGCGCCGGGUGACCGGCGCAGCUCGGCAAACCCCACCCGGAGCAAGACCAGACAGCACACGUUCGAGGGCGGCUCGUCCGAGUGUGCGGGUAGGUCGCUCGAGGCUGUCGGCAACGGCAGCCCUAGAUGGAUGGUCGCCCCCUCGGAGACGAGGG
RNAcentral lists this unclassified non-coding RNA (278 nucleotides) under Nocardioides nitrophenolicus. RNAcentral's name for it is "partial ribonuclease P RNA". It matches the Rfam family "Bacterial RNase P class A", at positions 60 to 324 of the family's 367-position model. Rfam says of the family: Ribonuclease P (RNase P) is a ubiquitous endoribonuclease, found in archaea, bacteria and eukarya as well as chloroplasts and mitochondria. Its best characterised activity is the generation of mature 5'-ends of tRNAs by cleaving the 5'-leader elements of precursor-tRNAs. Cellular RNase Ps are ribonucleoproteins. Lineage: Bacteria; Bacillati; Actinomycetota; Actinomycetes; Propionibacteriales; Nocardioidaceae. The record is from RNAcentral.